Molecule: ribosomal RNA, 423 nt
Filed under: Paracoccus sp. KB132
Lineage: Bacteria; Pseudomonadati; Pseudomonadota; Alphaproteobacteria; Rhodobacterales; Paracoccaceae
Description: bacterial SSU rRNA
Rfam family: Bacterial small subunit ribosomal RNA
Source: RNAcentral
CAUGGCUCAGAACGAACGCUGGCGGCAGGCUUAACACAUGCAAGUCGAGCGAGACCUUUCGGGUCUAGCGGCGGACGGGUGAGUAACGCGUGGGAACGUGCCCUUCUCUACGGAAUAGCCCCGGGAAACUGGGAGUAAUACCGUAUACGCCCUUUGGGGGAAAGAUUUAUCGGAGAAGGAUCGGCCCGCGUUGGAUUAGGUAGUUGGUGAGGUAACGGCUCACCAAGCCGACGAUCCAUAGCUGGUUUGAGAGGAUGAUCAGCCACACUGGGACUGAGACACGGCCCAGACUCCUACGGGAGGCAGCAGUGGGGAAUCUUAGACAAUGGGGGCAACCCUGAUCUAGCCAUGCCGCGUGAGUGAUGAAGGCCUUAGGGUUGUAAAGCUCUUUCAGCUGGGAAGAUAAUGACGGACCACAAAGAG